This 324-nucleotide ribosomal RNA is filed under the name uncultured bacterium. RNAcentral's name for it is "bacterial SSU rRNA". It matches the Rfam family "Bacterial small subunit ribosomal RNA", at positions 28 to 334 of the family's 1533-position model. The record is from RNAcentral.
GAUGAACGCUGGCGGCGUGCCUAACACAUGCAAGUCGAACGGGACUAUCUGGAAGAUCUUUUCGGAGUGAUUCCUAAUAGUUUAGUGGCGGACGGGUGAGUAACGCGUGGAUAACCUGCCUUUCACAGGGGGAUAGCAGCUGGAAACGGCUGGUAAUACCGCAUACGCUCAUAUCACCGCAUGGUGGUGUGAGGAAAGAUUUAUCGGGUGAAAGAUGGAUCCGCGUCUGAUUAGCCAGUUGGCGGGGUAACGGCCCACCAAAGCGACGAUCAGUAGCCGGCCUGAGAGGGCGGACGGCCACAUUGGGACUGAGACACGGCCCAG